Molecule: ribosomal RNA, 791 nt
Filed under: uncultured Mycobacterium sp.
Lineage: Bacteria; Bacillati; Actinomycetota; Actinomycetes; Mycobacteriales; Mycobacteriaceae
Description: bacterial SSU rRNA
Rfam family: Bacterial small subunit ribosomal RNA
Source: RNAcentral
GGGCGUAAAGAGCUCGUAGGUGGUUUGUCGCGUUGUUCGUGAAAUCUCACGGCUUAACUGUGAGCGUGCGGGCGAUACGGGCAGACUUGAGUACUGCAGGGGAGACUGGAAUUCCUGGUGUAGCGGUGGAAUGCGCAGAUAUCAGGAGGAACACCGGUGGCGAAGGCGGGUCUCUGGGCAGUAACUGACGCUGAGGAGCGAAAGCGUGGGGAGCGAACAGGAUUAGAUACCCUGGUAGUCCACGCCGUAAACGGUGGGUACUAGGUGUGGGUUUCCUUCCUUGGGAUCCGUGCCGUAGCUAACGCAUUAAGUACCCCGCCUGGGGAGUACGGCCGCAAGGCUAAAACUCAAAGAAAUUGACGGGGGCCCGCACAAGCGGCGGAGCAUGUGGAUUAAUUCGAUGCAACGCGAAGAACCUUACCUGGGUUUGACAUGCACAGGACGCCGGCAGAGAUGUCGGUUCCCUUGUGGCCUGUGUGCAGGUGGUGCAUGGCUGUCGUCAGCUCGUGUCGUGAGAUGUUGGGUUAAGUCCCGCAACGAGCGCAACCCUUGUCUCAUGUUGCCAGCGGGUAAUGCCGGGGACUCGUGAGAGACUGCCGGGGUCAACUCGGAGGAAGGUGGGGAUGACGUCAAGUCAUCAUGCCCCUUAUGUCCAGGGCUUCACACAUGCUACAAUGGCCGGUACAAAGGGCUGCGAUGCCGCGAGGUUAAGCGAAUCCUUUUAAAGCCGGUCUCAGUUCGGAUCGGGGUCUGCAACUCGACCCCGUGAAGUCGGAGUCGCUAGUAAUCGC